This 507-nucleotide ribosomal RNA is filed under the name uncultured bacterium. Its description in RNAcentral is "bacterial SSU rRNA". It matches the Rfam family "Bacterial small subunit ribosomal RNA", at positions 21 to 518 of the family's 1533-position model. The record is from RNAcentral.
GGCUCAGGAUGAACGCUAGCUACAGGCUUAACACAUGCAAGUCGAGGGGCAGCAUGAAGUUGCUGCAAACUUGAUGGCGACCGGCGCACGGGUGAGUAACGCGUAUCCAACCUGGCCCUUAGUAGGGGAUAGCCCGGCGAAAGUCGGAUUAAUACCCUAUGUUUUCCUAUGAGGACAUCUGAGCAGGAACAAAGAUUUAUCGCUAAGGGAUGGGGAUGCGUCUGAUUAGCUUGUCGGCGGGGUAACGGCCCACCGAGGCUACGAUCAGUAGGGGUUCUGAGAGGAAGGUCCCCCACAUUGGUACUGAGACACGGACCAAACUCCUACGGGAGGCAGCAGUGAGGAAUAUUGGUCAAUGGGCGAGAGCCUGAACCAGCCAAGUAGCGUGCAGGAUGAACCUGCCCUAUGGGUUGUAAACUGCUUUUAUGCGGGAAUAAAGUGCAUCACGUGUGGUGUUUUGUAUGUACCGCAUGAAUAAGGACCGGCUAAUUCCGUGCCAGCAGCCGC